RNAcentral lists this unclassified non-coding RNA (228 nucleotides) under uncultured fungus. RNAcentral's name for it is "sequence contains ITS2". Lineage: Eukaryota; Fungi. The record is from RNAcentral.
AACCCUCAACCCCCCUGUUUUGUAAUGAAGCAGGCGUCUGGGCUUGGAUUCUGGCUGUUUUGCAGGCCCUGUCAUAGGGUCAGCUCAGCUGAAAUGUACGAGCAGCUUGUAUUUCGAUACUACAGAAGGCUUCACUCGGCGUAAUAAUACUUAUUCUCGUCAAGUUGAUUGCAGUCUUACCGUUAGACGGCGCUUAUAACACGCUUCACCUCGGUGAAACACUUGAAC